RNAcentral lists this ribosomal RNA (914 nucleotides) under uncultured Candidatus Poseidoniales archaeon. Its description in RNAcentral is "SSU rRNA". It matches the Rfam family "Archaeal small subunit ribosomal RNA", at positions 1 to 923 of the family's 1478-position model. Lineage: Archaea; Methanobacteriati; Thermoplasmatota; Candidatus Poseidoniia; Candidatus Poseidoniales. The record is from RNAcentral.
UUCUGGUUGAUCCUGCCGGAGGCUACCGCUAUUGGAGUUCGAUUAAGCCAUGCGAGUCGAGAGUCUUAGAGACUCGGCGUACCGCUCAGUAACACGUGGGUAACCUGCCCUAUGCUGGGGAAUAACCUCGGGAAACUGAGAAUAAUGCCCCAUAGUCCACAAUGCCUGGAACGGUUUGUGGAUUAAAGCCCCGGCGGCAUAGGAGGGCCUGCGGCGUAUCAGGUUGUAGGGGGUGUAACGUACCCUCUAGCCAUCAACGCGUACGGGUGUUGGGAGACAUAGCCGGAGAUGGAUUCUGAGACACGAAUCCAGACCCUACGGGGUGCAGCAGGCGCGAAAACUUGGCAAUGCGAGAAAUCGUGACCAGGGAACUCCAAGUGGCUGGGGUAAGACCCAGUCUUUUCUUGACUCUUCAAAGGUCUUGGAAUAAGAGGUGGGUAAGGACGGUGCCAGCCGCCGCGGUAAUACCGGCGCCUCAAGUGGUAGUCGAUUUUAUUGGGCCUAAAACGUCCGUAGCCUGUUUGGUACAUUCGUGGGUAAAUCAACCAGCUCAACUGGUUGAAUUCUGCGAGCACGGCCAGACUUGGGACCGGGAGAGGUGUGGGGUACGCUCAGGGUAGGGGUAAAAUCCUGUCAUCCUGAGCGGACCACCUGUUGCGAAGGCGCCACACUAGAACGGAUCCGACGGUCAGGGACGAAGCCUAGGGGCACGAACCGGAUUAGAUACCCGGGUAGUCCUAGGUGUAAACGCUGUGGACUUGGUGUUGGGGAUUCUCCGAGGAUCUUCAGUGCCGAAGCGAAGGUGAUAAGUCCACUGCCUGGGGAGUACGGUCGCAAGGCUGAAACUUAAAGGAAUUGGCGGGGGAGCACCGCAACCUGAGGAUUGUGCGGUUUAAUUGGACUCAACGCCGGGA